ACGCUCGACACCUACGGGUGGCAGCAGUGGGGAAUAUUGCACAAUGGGGGAAACCCUGAUGCAGCGACGCCGCGUGGAGGAAGAAGGUCUUCGGAUUGUAAACUCCUGUUGUUGGGGAAAAAGAGGAUGGUACCCAACAAGGAAGUGACGGCUAACUACGUGCCUGCAGCCGCGGUAAUCUGAGCGGGCUGGCAAGGC
This 198-nucleotide ribosomal RNA is filed under the name uncultured bacterium. RNAcentral's name for it is "partial 16S ribosomal RNA". It matches the Rfam family "Bacterial small subunit ribosomal RNA", at positions 328 to 539 of the family's 1533-position model. The record is from RNAcentral.